RNAcentral lists this unclassified non-coding RNA (437 nucleotides) under Hevea brasiliensis (rubber tree). The record is from RNAcentral. Lineage: Eukaryota; Viridiplantae; Streptophyta; Magnoliopsida; Malpighiales; Euphorbiaceae.
ACAUGCGAACAGACUGUGCAUCUGUAUCUAGGCUUCCACUGGCAAAGCCCUGAUAUGCACUAUCAAAGAAGGGUAGCAAUCCUUUUGAUCUCAUCAAUCUCCUAAUUUGCUCCCAUUGAUCUUUGGUUGGAUCCACACCAGUGGGGUUAUGUGCACAAGCGUGAAGUAACACUAUCGCUCCUGAUGGAGCGGAUCCAAGGUCUUCCAACAAACCUUGAAAAUGGAGUCCACGGGUUGCUGGAUCAUAGUAGCGGUAACUCUUAACUGACAACCCAGCUAAAGCGAAAAUUUUUGUGUGGUUUCCCCAUGUUGGUUGGGGAAUAUAAAUAGUACGUUGAUGAUAGUGUUGAGCCAAAAAUUCACCCCCAACUCUCAAUGAGCCUGUGCCAGACAAGCACUGGACAGUUGUUACUCUGUUCUCUUGAAUAGCAGGGCUG